GAAGAACGCGGGCGGCGUGCCGAAUACAUGCAAGUCGAACGCUUCUUUCCUCCCGAGUGCCUGCACUCAAUUGGAAAGAGGAGUGGCGGACGGGUGAGUAACACGUGGGUAACCUACCCAUCAGAGGGGGAUAACACUUGGAAACAGGUGCUAAUACCGCAUAACAGUUUAUGCCGCAUGGCAUAAGAGUGAAAGGCGCUUUCGGGUGUCGCUGAUGGAUGGACCCGCGGUGCAUUAGCUAGUUGGUGAGGUAACGGCUCACCAAGGCCACGAUGCAUAGCCGACCUGAGAGGGUGAUCGGCCACACUGGGACUGAGACACGGCCCAGACUCCUACGGGAGGCAGCAGUAGGGAAUCUUCGGCAAUGGACGAAAGUCUGACCGAGCAACGCCGCGUGAGUGAAGAAGGUUUUCGGAUCGUAAAACUCUGUUGUUAGAGAAGAACAAGGACGUUAGUAACUGAACGUCCCCUGACCGUAUCUAACCAGAAAGCCACGGCUAACUACGUA
RNAcentral lists this ribosomal RNA (508 nucleotides) under uncultured bacterium. RNAcentral's name for it is "partial 16S ribosomal RNA". It matches the Rfam family "Bacterial small subunit ribosomal RNA", at positions 28 to 507 of the family's 1533-position model. The record is from RNAcentral.